UCAUGCUCCGCACUUGCCAAUGCCUCGCGAAUCUGUGGCCAUUUACAAGGCUUUCUUUGGUGUGCCUUUUCCUUCAAGUGUGCGUGCCCCUGUGGGAACCCCUCAUCACAUGUACCUGAACCUGUCCAGACAUGUAUUGCGUAAUGUUAGCCGUUUGCCGUAAUGUUAGCCGUAAAAAAAAAAAAAACAGGAAAAAUGUAGUCGCAAGGACUCCAACAACACAGCAAAGCUAUCCAGGGUCGCCAAGUGCAGAUGACAGACGAUGUUCUUCACUUUCAUUCCGACCGACUCAACUGAACGCAAGGGAGUGGCACGAUUUAUCAGGGCCCUAGGAGCUCUUCAAUGUGUUUCUAUUCAUAUUGUUCGAGACCAUGAGAUUGUGAUUUCUUGAACAUCCCGCUGUUUGUUCGGGAGUUUUUCAACAAUACAUAUGCAAACAACUUUUCUUCAACUUUAACAACUUUUCGGGAACCUCUUUGUGCUCCGUCAACAAACAAAGGACAUGGCUUGAAUAUCCUGCUUUAUUGAUUUCAACAGUCCCGGGCAGACAUGCCUGCAGUGCCGCUCUCGCACAUUGACAUAACCGAGUUGGACAGCUCCUUGGCGUUAUCGCACAGCUGACACGGCUGAGUUCUUCGGAGGGCACAAACCGCUACGGGGAAGCACACAAUUACGUGACUGAUCAUCCAUGAUUAAAUCGGCCUGCCUACACGUACUGAUUAUUACACGUACUGACAUUAUUUUUGUCUACACGUAUAGGAGUUGCCUUACGUUUGUGGAAGUGGUGUAUACAGCGUGAGAGGAUCUAAUCGAUGGGGGUUGCCUGGCGAUCUUCACUUCUUUCUUGAAGACGGUUUUUGUCGCUCUUUGCUGCUCGCUUACCCCUUGGUACAAAACACAGCAUGUCCACAUAUAUAUCGACAAGUUCGAAAAUACAGGUUACAAAUACGGUAUAGCUCAUCCAGCCGCAGCGGGACGCCGCCGCAGCAAAAGAGUGAUACACCACUGCAUUAAAAGGGUUUACUUUUCUGAUUUUCAUCUGGAAUCUGCUGUGCUUUUGCUUCUGAUAUACUUUGAAGAGAGCUGAGAGCGUUCCAUCAUGGAUUUAACCCUGAAUCCCACAGAUUUCGAAUCAAGGCUUGCCUAAGUGUUUUGCAUACUAAUGUAGUUGGCCCUCUCAUAGUGUAUGCACCUCUCCACACAAUGUUACUCUCAUCUCUUUUGAUUCUGGCCUCCACUUUUUAACCAGACGUGGCAGGCAGUGUGCUUUUCCCCUUACAUUACUUUGCCAAAGUCAUGUGUGUUGCCCAUCUUGAUGUGUGCGCUUGGCCCUGGACCAUCCAAUGUCCUUUCUAUUUGCUGUGUUGUUAUGUGCACCCUUGAUGCUAUGUGCUGCUUAGCAACAACUACAACUACAAGAACAAUUUUUUCCUGUUUCAUUUCCAUUUAACUUAUCUUUUGAAUUGUUUUUCAUGUAUAGGCUAGCAGUCGCACGUUUUGACUGAAGGCCUUUUCUUUUCUGUAAUCCUGUAAUCCUGUCAAGACAUGUAUUGCGUAAUGUUAGCCGUUUCAGAUUACGUGCUCAUACCUUGCGUGCAAACUGUGCGAUUUGGUCCCGUGAACAGAUUUCUCCUAUUUGUGAUAGAUGCAGCUUGCAUGAGGAUCAAGAUGAAGUUCAUGUGCUU
Molecule: long non-coding RNA, 1685 nt
Filed under: Dunaliella salina
Lineage: Eukaryota; Viridiplantae; Chlorophyta; Chlorophyceae; Chlamydomonadales; Dunaliellaceae
Description: long non-coding RNA (DSAL_LNC000371)
Source: RNAcentral